AACGAAGGCUGGCGGCAUGCCUAACACAUGCAAGUCGAACGAGACCUUCGGGUCUAGUGGCGCACGGGUGCGUAACGCAUGGGAACCUGCCCUUAGGUUCGGAAUAACUCCCCGAAAGGGGUGCUAAUACCGGAUAAUGUCUUCGGACCAAAGAUUUAUCGCCUUUGGAUGGGCCCGCGUUGGAUUAGCUAGUUGGUAGGGUAAAAGCCUACCAAGGCGACGAUCCAUAGCUGGUCUGAGAGGAUGAUCAGCCACACUGGGACUGAGACACGGCCCAGACUCCUACGGGAGGCAGCAGUGGGGAAUAUUGGACAAUGGGCGAAAGCCUGAUCCAGCAAUGCCGCGUGAGUGAUGAAGGCCUUAGGGUUGUAAAGCUCUUUUACCCGGGAUGAUAAUGACAGUACCGGGAGAAUAAGCUCCGGCUAACUCCGUG
Molecule: ribosomal RNA, 433 nt
Filed under: uncultured bacterium
Lineage: Bacteria
Description: partial 16S ribosomal RNA
Rfam family: Bacterial small subunit ribosomal RNA
Source: RNAcentral